CGGGCCCUGCCCAAGAAAACGCCUUCUCCGCCCGAGCCCCGGCGUUCUCACACUCUCCCCUCAACCCGGUGGCGCCUCCGCCGCCCCGCCGUAACGAGGAGAGCCGGGCCCAAGAUGGCGGCUGCCGUUCGCCAGGGAGCAGGCGUGCGCAGUGCGCAUGCGUCGCGCGGCGAGCGCUGUCGCCUGAGAGUGAGACGCGGAGCCGUGGGCAUGGCUGCUGGCGCGCUGGGGUUCGCGGUGCUGCUGGCGGGGCUCGGCGCGGCGCGGGGACAGGACUCCUGCGGACCUCCAGACAGAGUGCAGAAUGCGGAGCUCACGGAGAGCUUCAGCGUGAUGAGCAGCUUCCCCGUUGGAACCACCGUGACCUACACCUGUCUCCCCGGCUAUAAGAGGAUCCCUGGGAUGCCCGCUGCUCGAACGUGUGGUGGAGACUUAACAUGGUCAUCGGUAGAUCCAUUCUGUACAGCGAGAACAUGUAAUCAUCCAGGAGAUAUAGAAAAUGGCUUUGUUCAUGUGACAGAUCUUACAUUUGGUUCAUCAGCUAAUUUUUCUUGUGAAAUAGGGUACAGGUUAAUUGGAAGUAGUCAAAUUUCCUGUGUAAUUAAAGGUAAAGGUGUUGACUGGAAUGAAGAACCUCCUAUAUGUUACAAAAUUUCUUGUGAACCGCCUCCAAGUAUAGCCAAUGGGCACUACAGUGAAGAACAGGACUAUGUUUAUCAAACAGCAGUAAGAUACACUUGUGAUGAUGUACCGUACGGCAAAGAUCCCUUCUCCCUGGUUGGUGAAGCUUCUAUUUUCUGCACGGCUGAUAAAGACUUAAAUGGUGUUUGGAGUGGACCACCUCCACAGUGUAAAGUGGUCACCUGUGAAAACCCUGAAGUAGAAAAUGGAAGAAAAUUAUUUGGAUCUGCAGCUCGUUAUAGCUAUCGGGAUUCGGUUACAUUUGUAUGUGAUCCAGGCUAUGACAUGUCUGGGGAGGAUGUAAUUACUUGUCAAGGGAAUAGCACCUGGUAUCCACCAAAACCAUCUUGUAUAAAAAGUGGUUCUGUACCUCCUGAUUCCUCUCCAGUCAUCAGCCAUGGUAGAAUAAUUGAAGGAAAAAAACCUGCAUAUUCUGUAGGGGAUUCUAUUACAAUUGAAUGUUACGUAGGCUACACGUUACAUGGAGCAGAUCGUAUUCAGUAUAUAGGAGAAGGCAGAUGGAGUCCUGAAGUGCCAACUUGCAAGUUAAGUGUGUAUAUUAUUGUCAUCAUCUGUGUGAUCAUGGCAAUUCUGAUGUUCCUGGCAGCCUUCUGGGUCUGUAAGAAAUUCAUUUCACAAGAAGGCUCAACCCCAUCGAGCAGAGGCAGCAACCAACAGCAAAAUCGGACUGCGUCACAGAUGUAACAUGACCAUCGGCAAAACGAGUGCAGAAAGAUAUCAUGGCUGUCUCAUCGUUCAGACAGCCUUCCUUCAGUGUCAGAGAAGAAUGAGCUGGGACCACCAUUGCUGCUGCUAUUCCAGUUGCUCCCCUGCUCUGCGGAACUGGCGCUGCAGGAGGCAAGGAUGCUCCAACCAGCGAGGGCUCAGUGAGUCAGGAGGGGCCGUGAUGACUGCAGCAGGAGCUGAACCACCCCCCGGAAUCCGGCAGGAAAGGAGGAGAGGCAAGGAAGGUGCCCCGAGCAGCUCGCAGUGCUGCUCACGCCUCGCCACCGCCUAAGGAAGAGGACGAGAAGGAAGGAAAGGAGGAAAUAAAAGCCCCGAAGCCAAGUGCUUUCCGUGGUGGAGCUUGGCAGCUCUGACACGUCAUCGUGACAGCGGCACAGCAAAGCGAAACCUUCCCGGCGCCGGCGCGGGGCAGGAAGGAGGCGGGGACCGAACCCGGGACUCGAACCCGGAGCGGCCCGCAGUCGGCGCCGCGGGUCCGGGCCGGGCCGGGAGCCCCCGGCACUUUGAGACGAGCGCAGCCAACAUUCGGAUUUGACACCAGGCCCUCGGCCAAUCCGAGUGGGCUUUUCACCUGCCAUCGCCUCCUCCGCCAAUCGGACGGCGUGUUUGGGCUGAGAGCCCUCCCCGGCCAAUCGGGAGCCGGCUGAGCCACUUAGUUAAUGAUGCAGCAGUACAGGGAAGACUAUCACAUGUGAGCUGGAAGGCUGCCAACAUGGAGACACGGAGAGAGCAAGCGUCUGAAGAGCCUGAGCUAUUUUGGGAUUUGUCUGUACUACACUGAAAAUGACACCUGUUACACACAGACAUAAAUGAGAAGAAUUGCAAGCUCCUGGUUUCUCAGAUACAAUUCUGCCCAAAGAAGAAAGACAGGAGCUAGGGAUGUGGGAGGGCAGUGCAGGCUCUCGGCGUGGGGUGAAGAGCUGACCCUUGUGAAUCGAGUAGUCAGACAGCAGUACAGGGAGUGCACAAGGCUCCUCGUAUCUGAUGCAGACCUCUCUGUGACCAAGAGAAGUAGUGCUUGAUCAACAAAAUGCUGCAGGAUGGGGUUUCUUACGCGACCAAACCCAUGGGACUUCAAGCCUUACAGAUCCGCUCUGUGGCCAAAGCUGCAAAUGUUAACUAUUUCAGUUAAUUGUAAGAGUGCUUCAGCUACUGAAAUGAGUCACUCGGCGGAGAUGCUCUAAAGUAGGCCAGCGUUUUGUGCGAGGUUGUGCAGUUGGUUGGUUUCCGUUACCCCUGAAUUAUCUCAGAAGCUCAACCAACACGCAGGGGCUGGGUGGAUUUCCACAUUCCCCGGUUGCCCCAUCUGCCUGCAGCCGAUCUGCAGUGCCCCGGGGAGGUGCCAGCAGCGUGCAGACAGCAGCCACCCCGCAGCCCCCAAGCACCGAGCGUGGCAGUGGGAUGAAGGAGAGAGCCUGGGAAGUGGGAUGGCUGAUGGGCACGCUUGGCUCCCAGCAACGGUGGUAUAUUAAGAAAGUAGAACGGAGCUGUGAUUUAUUUCAAAUUACACGCUUUUGGUUGCUUUCAAGGGAAAGGCAGCGUUUAUUUAAUGGGUUGCUGUUGUUUGAAAAUGACCAGCCGUGGGACAUUUCUACCUUUCCCUGAUCAUAAAGUAUUUACUUUAUGGCGGCACUUGAGCUCCCAAGAAGGAUCAAAGGCACUGUGCCGUGCGAAGCACUCAGGUUUAUUGCUCUCCAGAUGAUUUUCAUUAAUGAAUGUCAGAGGAAUGGCUCCUGGAGUGUUCGCAGUGAUUCCUGGCUGUGACUAGCUCAACCUCCAUCGCUGUGACACGCGUCAUUGCCAGCCCAGCGUGUGCACGCUGCGGUCCCAUCCAACCACAGAGCAGGUUUCCUGUUUCACAUGGGGACACCGAGGCCGUGAAUGGACGGAGGGCCGGGGUCGCAGCGCCGCGUGGUGCCCAGCUCCAGACCGACCCACUGCGCUCAGCCCCGACCCUGCAAGGAGCCUGAGAGCAGAGCUGACCAGCAGACCUCAGCGAGCCACCCGUACAGCAGGAGAGCACGACAGCCUGAAAGUUAGGACGUGUGCUUUGCAGUUACACAACAAGAACCAUUGGAAGACCACAAGUUUUCCCCAGACUGGAAGGUUUCCACCAAGUCAGGAAGAUGGUCGUGUUUGGGAUGGUCCAACGGAUCCUGUGCGUUGUGUCAGCUCUGUCGUCUGGGGAAGGUGGGCCAGCACCCUUUGAGCUGAAGCCAUCUGCUUUGCCUCCAGAGCACCAUCUCACAUCAGUGUUCAUAGAACUAUUGCUGAAAGCCAUUUCUGGACUCAGUGUCAGUCCUCUUGUUUUCUUCUAUAUGGUAGGUAGGGUCUUUGCAGCUUCUUAGGCUGUUGAGGACUAGAAGAUGCCCAUGGGCUGAGCUUGUCUUCAACAGUGACUCUGGGGGAGUAGGUGAUCUUUCUGUUUUCCAGCAGAAAUAGCAAACAUUCCUCUCUGAAGAUAUUGCUGAUAAAAAAAGAUUGGUUCUGGCACUGACCAGCUCUGCUCCGUGGGAUGGGCUUUUGGGUAUUUCCAGCAAACGUGGAUGCCAGCUCUCAGUUUAUGGACCUUGGUGCUAAACGCGUGAUGGGCAGGGAGCCAUAAUCUAGAAUUCUGGACUGACUUGGAGAGCUCCUUUGUAAGACUCAGAGCAUGAACGCAUCCAGAGGAGUUGGGAGGCUGAACCUUUGCACCUGGGGAUGGAUGGUGGCCUCCUCCAAACCAAGUGUGACACAAGGUGAGACCUCUCACCACGAGAUGAGACCCCACGACACGGGAUGCUGUGCUCCAUGCCACACUGGCUCUGGUUAACCUGCAGCCCUGUUUUCCACACGUAACCAUGGUAACCCGAAUGCUCUGGCAGAGGUGCACAUCAGCCCCAUUUGUCACAGCUGCACUUCCAAACCCACUGCAUCUGCAUCACCUGAGCCUGCACAGAGCAGGAGGGCGUCUUUGUGGCUUUGCCAUUCCCCAUGCAAUCCCAGCGCAGGCAGUGGGAGGUGGGGAGAAGGAAGAGGAAGAGGACGAAUGCCAGCGCAGUUCAUGCACAAUGCUGGCUCUCAGCAGUACGAUUAGUUACUUGGCAACAAGAGCAAGGUGUGUCAGAGUGGAUGGGACACAAACACCCGCACCAGCCCUGGCAACAGCGCCAGGAGAACUCGCAGCUAGUAAGGCUCGUCUGGUUUUGCUGUGGAGCACUUAAAUGAACGAAUUAAGUAACACCUGGAAGCAGCCUCCCACUGAGCGCAUUACACAACAACCUUGUUGCCCAUAUUUUCCAUGCAAUGCCAUUUGGUGGAACUGUGCAGAACGAAAGUUCCCUGUCCUGCCCUUCUCAUGCAGCCCGGGUAGGGCUGGAGCCGCACUGAGGGGACAGCACGAAUUUCUGCACUGAAACGGAGGCAUUUAAUGGUUGCUGCUGCUCAGGAGAUGCUGUGGAUCUGC
RNA transcript from Numida meleagris (helmeted guineafowl), 4873 nucleotides. It is a transcript of the gene named CD46 molecule, with no coding region annotated. The transcript is spliced from 17 exons. The record is from RefSeq and is a predicted model, not a curated record. Lineage: Eukaryota; Metazoa; Chordata; Aves; Galliformes; Numididae.